AGUGCUGUAGUCGAGAUGGUUAAGACACUCCCCUGUCACGGGAGAGAUCGCGGGUUCGAAACCCGUCAGCACUGCCA
This 77-nucleotide transfer RNA is filed under the name Klebsiella phage Metamorpho. RNAcentral describes it as "tRNA-Asp". It matches the Rfam family "tRNA". Rfam says of the family: Transfer RNA (tRNA) molecules are approximately 80 nucleotides in length. Lineage: Duplodnaviria; Heunggongvirae; Uroviricota; Caudoviricetes; Pantevenvirales; Straboviridae. The record is from RNAcentral.